This 3382-nucleotide long non-coding RNA is filed under the name Callithrix jacchus (white-tufted-ear marmoset). Its description in RNAcentral is "lncRNA (ENSCJAG00000084876.1)". Lineage: Eukaryota; Metazoa; Chordata; Mammalia; Primates; Cebidae. The record is from RNAcentral.
UACAUUCAAAUAUAUGCCCUCUCAUUUACCAUGAGCAAAUUAAUUACUCUUUUUUCUCAUUUGUAAAUAGUAGAAUAAUCUUUGUCCUGUUCACAGUGGAAAGCACAUGAGCUUACAAGUCAGGAAGAAGGUGUGAUGACAUAGAUUCCCGGGGACAAUGCCAAGUGAUGACAGACACAGACACUGGAGUGAUACAGUACAAGCCCAGGAACACUAAGGAUCCAUGACCACCAUCAGAAGCCACAAAGAUGCAAGGAAGGAUUCUCCCCUACAUGUUUCAGCGGAAGCAUGUUUCUGUGGCCACAUUCAUUUCAGAGUUCUAGCUUCCACAAGUCUUCCAGGUAACACCUGCAUUUCUUGGCUCACGGCCUCCUACCUCCAUCAUCAAAACCAGUAGCAAUGAAUUGAGUCCAUUUCAUAUUGCAUCUGUUGACACUCUUCCUCUUCCUCCUCUGCUUUCACUUUUAAGGACUCAUACGACUAAAUUUGGCCCAAACUAAAUUGGGCAAAAAUAAUCUCUGUAUGUCUUCAUUUCUUCCUGUGGCUUAAUUUAUCUAGUGUUAUCUCUUUCUCCAUUACUCAGUUAUUACCUCUCUCAGUUAUUACCUCUUGCCUACUUAAUGCUGUUAUUAUUGAAAAGAUUAUACAUCUCUUGUGUGCUGCCCUCCUCCUCCCAGAUUCAUGUAUUUAAGACAUAAUCCCCAGGAGAUCAGAAUGUGACCAUAUUUGGAGCUAAGGUCUAUAAGGUAAAAUGAGAUACUUAGAGUAGGCCCUAAUCUAAUCUGUCUGAUAUCCUUAUAAGAAGAGAAAAUUUUUAUACAGACCUGUGUAUAUGAAGGAUAUUGUGAAGACAGAGAAAGAAGACAGUUAUGUAAAAGUCAAGGAGUGAGGUCUCAGAAGUAAUCAGUUAUGCCAACACCUUGAUCUUGGACUUCUAGGCUCCAGAAAUAAAAGAAAAGGAAUUUCUGUUGUUUAAAUCACCCAGCCUGUGGUACUUUGUUAUUGAGGCAGAAGAGAACUAAUAUAAUGUGCAUGUAAUGCAAGCCCAGUAAUAAAAUUAUAUCAGUAUAUGUGGAUAUCUGUGUCUCUAUCUGGAAUCCACACAAAAGACUGAAUGUUGGCAAAGGUAAUUACGUAUGUAAUUAAUGAAGACAAUAUACUACAUAAAACUAUCUCCAUCUUUACAGGUAACUAGUUUUCUAGGGCUGCUACAAUAAAGUCCACACAUGGGGUGACUUGAAACAUUCUUGCUCAGUUUUGGAGAUUAGAAGUCUGAGGCCCCAGUGUUCGCAGUAUCAUGCUCUCCUUAGACUCCAUAGAAUUCUUCUUUCUUCUUUGCCUAUUCUUGGCUUCUAGGAGUGGUCCUAGUGAUUCGUGCUCAUUGGCUUACAGCUACAUCACUCUAAUCUCUGCAUCUGUCAUUAGAUAAACUUCUCUCUGAGUGUCUAUAUAUCUUUACAUGGCUGUCUUCUUGUGUCUCUUUCCUUUUCUUAUUAGGACAUCAGCAAUGUUAGAUUAGAAUCCAUCCUAAUAACCUCAUCUUAACUUGAUUAUUUCUGCAAAGACUAUGUCUAUAUAAGGUCACAUACACAGGUACCCAAUAUUAAUACUUAAACAUAUCUUUUGGGGUACAAAAUAUAACCCAAUCUCUCUAUUUAUCUAACUUUUUUUAUCUGGUAUCUAUUUAAUCCAUCUAUUUAUGUAUCUGUCAAUCACCAUCAAUUUCACCUGUAUAGUUUCCUGCAACUAAUUUUAAUUUGUUAACAAAAAAGAAAAUUAAUGUGAUCAUGUGAUCGUAAUUAAAAAAAAAUAAUCACCUAUAUAGUUACCUUUACCAACACUCAUUUUUUGUGUGUAUGUCUGUAGGUUUGGAUUACCAUGUGCUGCCACUGCUUUUAGCCUAAAGGACUUCUUUAGUAUUUCUUGCAAGGCAGAUUUUUUUAGUGAAAAAUUCAGUUUUUGCUUAUCUUACAAUUAUUUUAUUUUAUCUUUAUUUUUGAAAAAUAGUUUUCUUCUGGGUACUAGAUUCUUUUUUCCUUUCUUUCUUCCUCUCUUUCUUUCUUUUUUCUUCUUUCUCUCUUAAACUUCAAAUAGAUCAUCCCACUUUCUACUGUCUUCUGAGAAGUCAGUUGUUAAUCUUUCAGGAGGUUUCUGGUAUGUAAUGAAUUGUUUUUCUCCUCAUGUUUUAAAAAUCUCAUUUUUACCUUUGGCUUUCAGCAUUUUGGCUGUUACAACAGGCUGUGGAUCUCCACAUUUUGGCUGUUAUGUCUGGCUGUGGAUCUCUGCAUUUAUUCCAAUUGAAGUUUGCUAAAUUUUCGAAUGUGUAGAUUGUUACUAUUUUAAUAAAAUCUGACAGGUUUUCAAUUACUAUUUUCUCAAAAAGUUUUCCUUCCACCUUCUUCUCUUCUCUCCUUCUGGCACUUCCGGAAGCAUUUUGUGAGUGCACUUAAUGAUAUCCCACAUUUUUCUAAGAGUCUGUUUAUUUGUCUGUAUUCUUUUUUCUACUUGAUCUUUAGAUUGCAUAAUAUCUAUUGAUCUAUAUUCAAGUGUGCUGAGAUUUUCUUCUGCCAGUUCGAAGCUGCUAUAAGACUUUUACUGUGUUUUUUAUUUUAUUUUAUUUUCAACUACAAAAUUUCCAUUUGUUUCCUUUUUAUAAAAUGUUAUGAAUAUUUUCUGUGUGAUAUUCUCUAUUGAACGAGACAUUGGCAUUGUAACAUCAUUUAAUUCCUCAGACAUGAUUAUAUUCAGUUCUUUGAACGUAUUUAUAAUGGCUACUUUGAAGUCUAUCUGCUAAUGUCAACCUCUGGGUCUAUUUUUUCUAUAUAUACAUUUCAUAUUUUCCUUUUUUCUUUUCUGAUAACUUUUUUUUGAAAUCUGGAUGUUUUGGGUAAUAUAUUGUAACAAUCCAGGACCAUAACUCUCCUUGCCCCUUCGAGGUUAAUGUUGUGUUUAUUUCAUUUCACUAACUUAUUUGUUUAGUCAUCUGGCCAAGAUUACUUUAUAUAAUCUUUUUCCAUUUUUAGUUUCUUCUUUCAGUGUGAAAUCUCUCAUGACCAUCCUUCGGUUUUGUUUCAUUUUUUUUGUCUGACUAUAUAGGGAUUGCCCAGGGUCAGCAUAAACCACUUCUUGGUCAAAAUUUGCACUUAAUUACCACUGGCACUCCAGAUAUUUACUCUUUACAACUUAAUGUAUUUAUUGUUGGAAACUCUCUGAGUUUCAGAAGUUUACAUCUCCUCCACCCCCCAUUUAGUCCAGAGGUAGUAGCAUAGAUUUUUCACUUCUUAGAGGCAGCCUUGGGUAUGUACACAUUCUUCCAGACUGCAAACAUUGUGUGCAAUUUUGUUUAUUUAUUUGUUUUGAAAUGGAGUUUUGCUCUUAUUUC